Molecule: ribosomal RNA, 504 nt
Filed under: uncultured bacterium
Lineage: Bacteria
Description: partial 16S ribosomal RNA
Rfam family: Bacterial small subunit ribosomal RNA
Source: RNAcentral
ACGAACGCUGGCGGCGUGCCUAAUACAUGCAAGUAGGACGCACAGUCUAUACCGUAGCUUGCUACACCAUAGGCUGUGAGUUGCGAACGGGUGAGUAACGCGUAGGUAACCUGCCUAUUAGAGGGGGAUAACUAUUGGAAACGAUAGCUAAUACCGCAUAACAGUAUGUAACACAUGUUAGAUGCUUGAAAGAUGCAAUUGCAUCGCUAGUAGAUGGACCUGCGUUGUAUUAGCUAGUAGGUAGGGUAAUGGCCUACCUAGGCGACGAUACAUAGCCGACCUGAGAGGGUGAUCGGCCACACUGGGACUGAGACAUGGCCCAGACUCCUACGGGAGGCAGCAGUAGGGAAUCUUCGGCAAUGGGGGGAACCCUGACCGAGCAACGCCGCGUGAGUGAAGAAGGUUUUCGGAUCGUAAAGCUCUGUUGUUAAGGAAGAACGAGUGUGAGAAUGGAAAGUUCAUACUGUGACGGUACUUAACCAGAAAGGGACGGCUAACUACGUG